This 281-nucleotide ribosomal RNA is filed under the name uncultured Staphylococcus sp. RNAcentral describes it as "partial 16S ribosomal RNA". It matches the Rfam family "Bacterial small subunit ribosomal RNA", at positions 81 to 354 of the family's 1533-position model. The record is from RNAcentral. Lineage: Bacteria; Bacillati; Bacillota; Bacilli; Caryophanales; Staphylococcaceae.
CUCCUUUGACGUUAGCGGCGGACGGGUGAGUAACACGUGGGUAACCUACCUAUAAGACUGGGAUAACUUCGGGAAACCGGAGCUAAUACCGGAUAAUAUUUCGAACCGCAUGGUUCGAUAGUGAAAGGUGGUUUUGCUAUCACUUAUAGAUGGACCCGCGCCGUAUUAGCUAGUUGGUAAGGUAACGGCUUACCAAGGCGACGAUACGUAGCCGACCUGAGAGGGUGAUCGGCCACACUGGAACUGAGACACGGUCCAGACUCCUACGGGAGGCAGCAGGC